UACGAAGGGGGCUAGCGUUGUUCGGAAUUACUGGGCGUAAAGCGCGCGCAGGCGGCUAUCCAAGUCAGUGGUGAAAGCCCGGAGCUCAACUCCGGAACUGCCAUUGAAACUGUUUAGCUUGAGGACGAGAGAGGUGAGUGGAAUUCCCAGUGUAGAGGUGAAAUUCGUAGAUAUUGGGAAGAACACCGGUGGCGAAGGCGGCUCACUGGCUCGUAACUGACGCUCAGACGCGACAGCGUGGGGAUCAAACAGG
This 253-nucleotide ribosomal RNA is filed under the name uncultured bacterium. RNAcentral's name for it is "partial 16S ribosomal RNA". It matches the Rfam family "Bacterial small subunit ribosomal RNA", at positions 524 to 776 of the family's 1533-position model. The record is from RNAcentral.